RNAcentral lists this ribosomal RNA (350 nucleotides) under uncultured Methanosaeta sp. RNAcentral's name for it is "bacterial SSU rRNA". It matches the Rfam family "Archaeal small subunit ribosomal RNA", at positions 989 to 1338 of the family's 1478-position model. Lineage: Archaea; Methanobacteriati; Methanobacteriota; Methanomicrobia; Methanotrichales; Methanotrichaceae. The record is from RNAcentral.
GGUGCGAUGGCCGUCGUCAGUUCGUACUGUGAAGCAUCCUGUUAAGUCAGGCAACGAGCGAGCCCACGCCCACAGUUGCCAGCGUACUCUCUGGAGUGACGGGUACACUGUGGGGACCGCCGCUGCUAAAGCGGAGGAAGGAAUGGGCAACGGUAGGUCAGUAUGCCCCGAAUAUCCCGGGCUACACGCGAGCUACAAUGGUUGGUACAAUGGGUAUCUACCCCGAAAGGGGACGGGAAUCUCCUAAAACCAAUCUUAGUUCGGAUUGAGGGCUGCAACUCGCCCUCAUGAAGCUGGAAUCCGUAGUAAUCGCGUUUCAACAGAACGCGGUGAAUACGUCCCUGCUCCUU